Long non-coding RNA from Sapajus apella (tufted capuchin), 95 nucleotides. RefSeq lists it as uncharacterized. The record is from RefSeq and is a predicted model, not a curated record. The transcript has 3 exons. Lineage: Eukaryota; Metazoa; Chordata; Mammalia; Primates; Cebidae.
ACUAGAACUCAGGCCCUCACCGGGGCCUGGCCAUCAGAAGGAUGGAUCCCACCUGGGCCAACCUAUCGGCAAGCAGCUGGGACGAAGGGGCGUCU